RNAcentral lists this ribosomal RNA (1442 nucleotides) under uncultured organism. Its description in RNAcentral is "16S ribosomal RNA". It matches the Rfam family "Bacterial small subunit ribosomal RNA". The record is from RNAcentral.
CAGGCUUAACACAUGCAAGUCGAGGGGCAGCAUGGUCUUAGCUUGCUAAGGCCGAUGGCGACCGGCGCACGGGUGAGUAACACGUAUCCAACCUGCCGUCUACUCUUGGACAGCCUUCUGAAAGGAAGAUUAAUACAAGAUGGCAUCAUGAGUCCGCAUGUUCACAUGAUUAAAGGUAUUCCGGUAGACGAUGGGGAUGCGUUCCAUUAGAUAGUAGGCGGGGUAACGGCCCACCUAGUCUUCGAUGGAUAGGGGUUCUGAGAGGAAGGUCCCCCACAUUGGAACUGAGACACGGUCCAAACUCCUACGGGAGGCAGCAGUGAGGAAUAUUGGUCAAUGGGCGAGAGCCUGAACCAGCCAAGUAGCGUGAAGGAUGACUGCCCUAUGGGUUGUAAACUUCUUUUAUAAAGGAAUAAAGUCGGGUAUGGAUACCCGUUUGCAUGUACUUUAUGAAUAAGGAUCGGCUAACUCCGUGCCAGCAGCCGCGGUAAUACGGAGGAUCCGAGCGUUAUCCGGAUUUAUUGGGUUUAAAGGGAGCGUAGAUGGAUGUUUAAGUCAGUUGUGAAAGUUUGCGGCUCAACCGUAAAAUUGCAGUUGAUACUGGAUAUCUUGAGUGCAGUUGAGGCAGGCGGAAUUCGUGGUGUAGCGGUGAAAUGCUUAGAUAUCACGAAGAACUCCGAUUGCGAAGGCAGCCUGCUAAGCUGCAACUGACAUUGAGGCUCGAAAGUGUGGGUAUCAAACAGGAUUAGAUACCCUGGUAGUCCACACGGUAAACGAUGAAUACUCGCUGUUUGCGAUAUACGGCAAGCGGCCAAGCGAAAGCGUUAAGUAUUCCACCUGGGGAGUACGCCGGCAACGGUGAAACUCAAAGGAAUUGACGGGGGCCCGCACAAGCGGAGGAACAUGUGGUUUAAUUCGAUGAUACGCGAGGAACCUUACCCGGGCUUAAAUUGCAGAUGAAUUACGGUGAAAGCCGUAAGCCGCAAGGCAUCUGUGAAGGUGCUGCAUGGUUGUCGUCAGCUCGUGCCGUGAGGUGUCGGCUUAAGUGCCAUAACGAGCGCAACCCUUGUUGUCAGUUACUAACAGGUUCCGCUGAGGACUCUGACAAGACUGCCAUCGUAAGAUGUGAGGAAGGUGGGGAUGACGUCAAAUCAGCACGGCCCUUACGUCCGGGGCUACACACGUGUUACAAUGGGGGGUACAGAGGGCCGCUACCACGCGAGUGGAUGCCAAUCCCCAAAACCUCUCUCAGUUCGGACUGGAGUCUGCAACCCGACUCCACGAAGCUGGAUUCGCUAGUAAUCGCGCAUCAGCCACGGCGCGGUGAAUACGUUCCCGGGCCUUGUACACACCGCCCGUCAAGCCAUGGGAGCCGGGGGUACCUGAAGUGCAUAACCGCGAGGAGCGCCCUAGGGUAAAACUGGUGACUGGGGCUAAGUCGU